Molecule: ribosomal RNA, 253 nt
Filed under: uncultured bacterium
Lineage: Bacteria
Description: partial 16S ribosomal RNA
Rfam family: Bacterial small subunit ribosomal RNA
Source: RNAcentral
UACGGAGGGUGCAAGCGUUGUCCGGAUUUAUUGGGUUUAAAGGGUGCGUAGGUGGCCCGUUAAGUCCGGGGUGAAAGCCCACAGCUCAACUGUGGAACUGCCCUGGAAACUGGAGAACUUGAGUACAGACGAGGGCGGCGGAAUGGAUGGUGUAGCGGUGAAAUGCAUAGAUACCAUCCAGAACCCCGAUUGCGAAGGCAGCUGCCUAGACUGUAACUGACGCUGAGGCACGAAAGCGUGGGGAGCGAACAGG